Molecule: transfer RNA, 72 nt
Filed under: Bos taurus (domestic cattle)
Lineage: Eukaryota; Metazoa; Chordata; Mammalia; Artiodactyla; Bovidae
Also listed under: 6 other names
Rfam family: tRNA
About the family: Transfer RNA (tRNA) molecules are approximately 80 nucleotides in length. Their secondary structure includes four short double-helical elements and three loops (D, anti-codon, and T loops).
Source: Rfam by way of RNAcentral
UCCCUAGUGGCUCAGAUGGUUAAGGAUCUGCCUGAGGUGCAGAAGACCUGGGUUCGAUUCCUGGGUGGGGAA